UACGAAGGGGGCUAGCGUUGUUCGGAAUUACUGGGCGUAAAGCGCACGUAGGCGGGCUAUUAAGUUAGAGGUGAAAUCCCGGAGCUCAACUCCGGAACUGCCUUUAAUACUGGUAGUCUUGAGUCCGAGAGAGGUGAGUGGAAUUCCGAGUGUAGAGGUGAAAUGCGUAGAUAUUCGGAGGAACACCAAUUGCGAAGGCAGCUCACUGGACCGCUAUCGACGCUGAGGAGCGAAAGCUAGGGGAGCAAACAGG
RNAcentral lists this ribosomal RNA (253 nucleotides) under uncultured bacterium. RNAcentral describes it as "partial 16S ribosomal RNA". It matches the Rfam family "Bacterial small subunit ribosomal RNA", at positions 524 to 776 of the family's 1533-position model. The record is from RNAcentral.